CCUACGGGGGGCAGCAGUGGGGAAUAUUGCACAAUGGGGGAAACCCUGAUGCAGCGACGCCGCGUGAGUGAAGAAGUAUCUCGGUACGUAAAGCUCUAUCAUCAGGGAAGAAAAUGACGGUACCUGACUAAUAAGCCCCGGCUAACUACGUGCCAGCAGCCGCGGUAAUACGUAGGGGGCAAGCGUUACCCGGAUUUACUGGGUGUAAAGGGAGCGUAGACGGCAGCACAAGUCUGGAGUGAAAUCCCGGGGCUGAACCACGGAACUGCUUUGGAAACUGUGCGGCUGGAGUGCAGGAGGGGUAAGCGGAAUUCCUAGUGGAGCGGUGAAAUGCGUAGAGAUUAGGAGGAACACCGGUUGCGAAGGCGGCUUACUGGACUGUAACUGACGUUGAGGCUCGAAAGCGUGGGGAGCAAACAGGAUUAGAUACCCCAGUAGUC
This 440-nucleotide ribosomal RNA is filed under the name uncultured bacterium. Its description in RNAcentral is "partial 16S ribosomal RNA". It matches the Rfam family "Bacterial small subunit ribosomal RNA", at positions 338 to 795 of the family's 1533-position model. The record is from RNAcentral.